GGCGUUUACCACGGUGUGAUUCAUGACUGGGGUGAAGUCGUAACAAGGUAACCGUAGGGGAACCUGCGGUUGGAUCACCUCCUUACG
Molecule: ribosomal RNA, 87 nt
Filed under: Frischella perrara
Lineage: Bacteria; Pseudomonadati; Pseudomonadota; Gammaproteobacteria; Orbales; Orbaceae
Description: partial 16S ribosomal RNA
Rfam family: Bacterial small subunit ribosomal RNA
Source: RNAcentral